GACGAACGCUGGCGGCGUGCUUAACACAUGCAAGUCGAACGGAAAGGCCCUGCUUUUGUGGGGUGCUCGAGUGGCGAACGGGUGAGUAACACGUGAGUAACCUGCCCUUGACUUUGGGAUAACUUCAGGAAACUGGGGCUAAUACCGGAUAGGAGCUCCUGCUGCAUGGUGGGGGUUGGAAAGUUUCGGCGGUUGGGGAUGGACUCGCGGCUUAUCAGCUUGUUGGUGGGGUAGUGGCUUACCAAGGCUUUGACGGGUAGCCGGCCUGAGAGGGUGACCGGCCACAUUGGGACUGAGAUACGGCCCAGACUCCUAUGGGAGGCAGCAGUGGGGAAUAUUGCACAAUGGGCGGAAGCCUGAUGCAGCAACGCCGCGUGCGGGAUGACGGCCUUCGGGUUGUAAACCGCUUUCGCCUGUGACGAAGCGUGAGUGACGGUAAUGGGUAAAGAAGCACCGGCUAACUACGUG
This 468-nucleotide ribosomal RNA is filed under the name uncultured bacterium. RNAcentral describes it as "partial 16S ribosomal RNA". It matches the Rfam family "Bacterial small subunit ribosomal RNA", at positions 28 to 507 of the family's 1533-position model. The record is from RNAcentral.